UGGGGAAUUUUCCGCAAUGGGCGAAAGCCUGACGGAGCAAUACCGCGUGAGGGAUGACGGCCUAUGGGUUGUAAACCCCUUUUUUCAGGGAGGAAUCAAUGACGUGUACCUGAAGAAUAAGCAUCGGCUAACU
This 133-nucleotide ribosomal RNA is filed under the name uncultured bacterium. Its description in RNAcentral is "partial 16S ribosomal RNA". It matches the Rfam family "Bacterial small subunit ribosomal RNA", at positions 355 to 502 of the family's 1533-position model. The record is from RNAcentral.